This 443-nucleotide ribosomal RNA is filed under the name uncultured bacterium. RNAcentral describes it as "partial 16S ribosomal RNA". It matches the Rfam family "Bacterial small subunit ribosomal RNA", at positions 338 to 795 of the family's 1533-position model. The record is from RNAcentral.
CCUACGGGAGGCAGCAGUGGGGAAUAUUGGGCAAUGGGCGCAAGCCUGACCCAGCAACGCCGCGUGAAGGAAGAAGGCCCUCGGGUUGUAAACUUCUUUUGUCAGGGACGAAGCAAGUGACGGUACCUGGCGAAUAAGCCACGGCUAACUACGUGCCAGCAGCCGCGGUCAUACGUAGGUGGGAAGCGUUAUCCGGAUUUACUGGGUGUAAAGGGCGUGUAGGCGGGGAAGCAAGGUGGAUGUGAAAUUCCAGGGCUCAACCCUGGGACUGCAUUGGAAACUGUUUUUCUUGAGUGAUGGAGAGGCAGGCGGAAUGCCGGGUGGAGCGGUGAAAUGCGUAGAUAUACGGAGGAACACCAGUGGCGAAGGCGGCCUGCUGGACAUUAACUGACGCUGAGGCGCGAAAGCGUGGGGAGCUAACAGGAUUAGAUACCCGAGUAGUC